AUCAUUUCUCAGCCUUUUGGCUAAGAUCAAGUGUAGUAUCUGUUAUCUGUUUCAUAUCUGAUACAUCGUCUAUCCGAUGACAAUAUAUUAAAUGGAUUUUUGGCACUAGGAACUGCAGUAGGAGCUUGCUCCUUCCAUUCCGUACAUUGACCUGGUAUUGCAGUAUCUCCAGGAACGGUGCACUAUAU
This is a small nuclear RNA of Suncus etruscus (white-toothed pygmy shrew), 188 nucleotides long. RefSeq annotates it as U2 spliceosomal RNA. The record is from RefSeq and is a predicted model, not a curated record. The transcript has a single exon. NCBI's taxonomy places the organism in Eukaryota, Metazoa, Chordata, Mammalia, Eulipotyphla, Soricidae.